This 253-nucleotide ribosomal RNA is filed under the name uncultured bacterium. Its description in RNAcentral is "partial 16S ribosomal RNA". It matches the Rfam family "Bacterial small subunit ribosomal RNA", at positions 524 to 776 of the family's 1533-position model. The record is from RNAcentral.
GACGUAGGGGCCAAGCGUUGUCCGGAGUAACUGGGCGUAAAGGGCGCGCAGGCGGUGCGUCACGUCGGGUGUGAAAGCCCCCCGCUCAACGGGGGAGGGUCAUCCGAAACGGACGGACUGGAGGCAGGGAGAGGUCGGUGGAAUUCCCGGAGUAGUGGUGAAAUGCGUAGAUCUCGGGAGGAACACCAGAGGCGAAGGCGGCCGACUGGACCUGACCUGACGCUGAGGCGCGAAGGCGUGGGGAGCGAACGGG